AGCCUUUAGCUAAACAAGUAUUAAAGGUCCUGCCUGCCCAGUGAUUCUUUCAACGGCCGCGGUAUUCUAACCGUGCAAAGGUAGCGUAAUCACUUGUCUUUUAAAUAAAGACCUGUAUGAAUGGCUAAAUGAGGAUAAACCUGUCUCUUAUAGCUAAUCAGUGAAACUGAUCUUCCAGUACAAAAGCUGGAAUACAAACAUAAGACGAGAAGACCCUGUGGAGCUUAAAACAAACCGCUAAACGAGCAUAAAACGUUUUAGCAUACGUUUUUAGUUGGGGCGACUUCGGAACAAAACAAAACUCCCGAGAGCAGAGCCAUAAACCUCUAACCAAGGCCAACAAGCCAAAGCACAAAACUGAUCCGGCCAAACCGAUCAACGAACCAAGUUACCCCAGGGAUAACAGCGCAAUCUUCUUCGAGAGCCCUUAUCAACAAGAAGGUUUACGACCUCGAUGUUGGAUCAGGACACCCAAAUGGUGCAGCCGCUAUUAAAGGUUCGUUUGUUCAACGAUUAACAGUCCUACGUGAUCUGAGUUCAGACCGGAGCAAUCCAGGUCGGUUUCU
RNAcentral lists this ribosomal RNA (566 nucleotides) under Brasiliscincus caissara. RNAcentral describes it as "partial 16S ribosomal RNA". It matches the Rfam family "Bacterial large subunit ribosomal RNA", at positions 1817 to 2639 of the family's 2925-position model. The record is from RNAcentral. Lineage: Eukaryota; Metazoa; Chordata; Lepidosauria; Squamata; Scincidae.